UGAAACUAGUUAUCAAAGGUACCAGGAUUAUAAUUUAGUACGCCAGACGCGCGUUUCGUCUACAUCAGACUCAUCAGUGACGCUCAUGUCAAAAUAUUUAUAAAGCCAAACAAGAACAAAGUUGAAGAGCAUUGAGGAUCCAAAAUUCCAAAAAGUGGUGCCAAAUACGGCCAAGGUAAUCUAUGCCUGGGAUAAGAAAAUCCUUAGUUUUUCGUAAAAUUCAAAGUUUUGUUAACAGGAAAUUUAUAAAAAUGACCACAUUAUUGAUAUU
This 271-nucleotide long non-coding RNA is filed under the name Mytilus galloprovincialis (Mediterranean mussel). Lineage: Eukaryota; Metazoa; Mollusca; Bivalvia; Mytilida; Mytilidae. The record is from RNAcentral.